This is a non-coding RNA of Acanthosepion pharaonis, 99 nucleotides long. NCBI's taxonomy places the organism in Eukaryota, Metazoa, Mollusca, Cephalopoda, Sepiida, Sepiidae. The record is from the annotation of a GenBank genome assembly.
GUGGAAACUCCAGUUACUGUACGAUCACCGAAGUUAAGCAGCGUCGGGCCUGGCCAGGACCUAGAUGGCUGACUGCUUGGGAAUGCCAGGUGUUGUAAG